This 453-nucleotide ribosomal RNA is filed under the name uncultured bacterium. Its description in RNAcentral is "bacterial SSU rRNA". It matches the Rfam family "Bacterial small subunit ribosomal RNA", at positions 340 to 783 of the family's 1533-position model. The record is from RNAcentral.
UACGGAAGGCAGCAGUGGGGAAUAUUGCACAAUGGGCGCAAGCCUGAUGCAGCCAUGCCGCGUGUAUGAAGAAGGCCUUCGGGUUGUAAAGUACUUUCAGUCGUGAGGAAGGUGUUAAGGUUAAUAACCUUAGCAAUUGACGUUAGCGACAGAAGAAGCACCGGCUAACUCCGUGCCAGCAGCCGCGGUAAUACGGAGGGUGCGAGCGUUAAUCGGAAUUACUGGGCGUAAAGGGCACGCAGGCGGUUAAUUAAGUUGGAUGUGAAAUCCCCGGGCUUAACCUGGGAAUGGCAUUCAAGACUGGUUAGCUAGAGUCUUGUAGAGGGGGUAGAAUUCCGAUGUGUAGCGGUGAAAUGCGUAGAGAUGUGGAGGAAUACCGGUGGCGAAGGCGGCCCCUGGGACAAAGACUGACGCUCAUGUGCGAAAGCGUGGGGAGCAAACGAGGGAUUAGAU